AGUGAACGCUGGCGGUAGGCCUAACAAAUGCAAGUCGAACGGCAGCACAGUAAGAGCUUGCUCUUACGGGUGGCGAGUGGCGGACGGGUGAGGAAUACAUCGGAAUCUACUUUUUCGUGGGGGAUAACGUAGGGAAACUUACGCUAAUACCGCAUACGACCUACGGGUGAAAGCAGGGGGUCUUCGGACCUUGCGCGAUUGAAUGAGCCGAUGUCGGAUUAGCUAGUUGGCGGGGUAAAGGCCCACCAAGGCGACGAUCCGUAGCUGGUCUGAGAGGAUGAUCAGCCACACUGGAACUGAGACACGGUCCAGACUCCUACGGGAGGCAGCAGUGGGGAAUAUUGGACAAUGGGCGCAAGCCUGAUCCAGCCAUACCGCGUGGGUGAAGAAGGCCUUCGGGUUGUAAAGCCCUUUUGUUGGGAAAGAAAAGCAGCAGGUUAAUACCCCGCUGUUCCGACGGUACCCAAAGAAUAAGCACCGGCUAACUUCGUG
Molecule: ribosomal RNA, 492 nt
Filed under: uncultured bacterium
Lineage: Bacteria
Description: partial 16S ribosomal RNA
Rfam family: Bacterial small subunit ribosomal RNA
Source: RNAcentral